CUUACUUGAUGUUCAUUUGUUAUGUCCCGCUUUUCGGCGAGUUCGCUCUUUGAUGCCUACCGAAUCGUUCCACUGCCAGUUUUUGCUAUUCCCGUUAUCAUUCUCAGAAAGACUGAUCUUUGUGGGGUUUUGGUCAUUAGAUCUACUCUGAACUUUGUUGCGGGUGUUGCAAUAGGAAAUCUUGCGUCUCUCUCAUGUUUGGUGGCUCAAUAAUUGGGGGAAGAUUUCUCCUUUCGCUGCUGAUUGUAGAAAUGUCCAGCUUUUGAGAACUUGAAUUUGACAAUUUCUGCAGGGGGUGGAGAAUGGAUGAAAGUGGUGGAUGCAAAACAAGAUGCUGAUGCUAGAAGAUGUGCUUUGGGCUAUAUGACUAACCAGGGAAAAGAGGCCUUCUUUUAGAUCCCAAAAGUCUUUUUCAGGGCAAGAUAUUGACGAAAGCUUGGAAGAAGCUAUCGAUGUUAGUUUCAGAGAAGAAUUAGAUGGAAAGGAAAGAAAUUCCAAGAAAUGGAAGAAAAACAUGGAUGCUAAGCAGGCAUGCCAACCUAUGCCUUCAAAUAUCAUAGGUAAACUAUGUCCAGAGAAAUAUGAUAUCUGAUUCGGUUUCCAUGCAAAAGAUUUCCGAUUCAAUAGCAAAUGAAGCUGCUGACAAGUUGAAACCAGGUUUUAUAUCCACCGGGUCUGUGCCUCCACAAUUUGAUAACUUAUUUGUAAUUGAUUCAGAAGAAGACUAUUUAGAUAAUCAUGACUCCGAUAGUGCUGGUUCCACUAGAUACUUUUUCCAGACAAAGGAUAUUGAAAAUAAUUCUACUGCAUCAAAAUCUACUGGCACAGAGUUUACAAUAUUAAAGAAAGGCAAUCUUGAUAGCUGUGAUGGCCCCUUGAAGUGCCAAAAGUCAUCUGGCUCAUUCAAAGGCAGUAUGGAUGCUGGUAUAAAUGACCCCAGUAGUGUCCCCAGUUGUGGCAAAGUUAGAAUGCCGGAAAAAUCUUGUAAAUGUUCUUUUUGUCUCAAAGCUGCUUACAUAUGGGCAGACCUACAUUAUCAGGAUACUAGAGCCAGACUCGCUGAAUUGAAGAAAAGCAAAAGGCUUGCAAGGUCUUUAGAAGCACGAAGUUGCCGCAACAAAAGCAGUAUCAAGACUGCUCAAAGCAUCUCAAAUAGAUCCCUCUCACAGGAGUCUCAAUUAACUCAACAAUGGCAAUCACUUUUCCUUUGCACAGAGAAUAUCAUUGUGCGUGAAACUACUGAGCUUGCGGUUUUUCUUUGAUGGAAAUGUUUCCUUUUAUGAUCUGAGGAUUUGCAUUUUAUUGGUCACGGAUGAAAUUUUAUCGAAAGCAUGACAAAUUUCUCAGGCUGAAAGAGUUGAAAGAGAAUUGCAAGAGAGAUUUGGAGAUAAUUAGCUUGGUUCCUUCAGAGAAAUGAUAUCAUAAAUCAUUUCCAAUUUUUUUGAUUCAGCUGUUAGGUCGUUUCACGAGGGUUCCUGACAUGGAGUAUCAAGUGGAAUUUAUCACUCAGAAAAUUUUGAGAGACCGUUUAAAUAAUUAAAAUUAUUGUUCAUAAAUUACUUGGCGGUGCGACUGUUUAUCGAAUGCUACAAUAUGCAAUUAUUGUAUAUAGUGAUCAGAAAGGAAUAACCACGAGACCAUGAAUGUUUCAGUUUCAAA
RNA transcript from Zingiber officinale, 1659 nucleotides. RefSeq lists it as uncharacterized. The transcript has 5 exons. The record is from RefSeq and is a predicted model, not a curated record. NCBI's taxonomy places the organism in Eukaryota, Viridiplantae, Streptophyta, Magnoliopsida, Zingiberales, Zingiberaceae.